Molecule: long non-coding RNA, 421 nt
Organism: Triticum dicoccoides
Lineage: Eukaryota; Viridiplantae; Streptophyta; Magnoliopsida; Poales; Poaceae
Exons: 2
Source: RefSeq, a predicted model, not a curated record
UCACCAGAUAUAUCUCUCUCACUCCCUUCCGGCGCCGACAAACAACGCGAGAAAGAUGGCCAUGGCGGCCAAAACCCAGCUUGUCUUGUGCAUGCUCGUGGCCUUCUUCCUCCUCCUCGCCAUGGAGGUUGCUGCCGCUAGGAAACUAGAUGAAGCAGGUGACAAUUACAAGGGCACGUAUCCUUCAAUAGGUUAUCCAACUGGACCGCCACCAUAGUCCAUAGGUCUCCGGAAAUAUCUAUAGUACAACAUAUUUAUACAUACAUGCAUACUCUUCAUUUCAUGAGAAAUAAACGACAUGUAUGUAUAUAUGUACAUGUUUCUUUCACAUCAUGACCGUUAAAUUAGUAAGAGCAUGCAUGCAUGCAUGCAUGUAUGUCCAUCUUUCUCUUCGCACAACUGAAUCUGCUGGAUGAAAUGA